Molecule: long non-coding RNA, 476 nt
Organism: Suricata suricatta (meerkat)
Lineage: Eukaryota; Metazoa; Chordata; Mammalia; Carnivora; Herpestidae
Exons: 3
Source: RefSeq, a predicted model, not a curated record
UUGGUCCUUCCAUGGAGCAGUUCUCAGCACUCCCUUAUCUACUGUUUAUAGCGAAUUGACAAGGACAGUAAUCAUGACCCAAGAAAGGCAUGGUGAUCGGGGGUUUUCACACUUUAGCAGACAGGAUCUGGAUCACUCAACCAGAUAAGCCUCUUUCGCCAGCAAAGGUGCCAACAAAGUUUUAUUUACAGCCCUGAAGACGUGCACUCGGAAUCCAGCCUCUUUCUUCACCUGGUCCAGCUCAUGGACAGAUAGUGAAUCACCUAGAGGCUCAUCUUACUGGAGAUCAAUCAGAGGGGACUGGAAUCUGAACACUGGAUCCCAAGCUACAUUUCUUCAUGAGGAAAGGUGGCUGACAAGGCUGCAAGGUCGCACAGGCGAAAAUUCUCAGUCGAAGCUCCUUUCCAACUGAAAUGCCACACAUUUCCCUUUUUUAAGGUGACAGUUUCUAUCUAACCUUCUCUAACCCAGGACCU